RNAcentral lists this transfer RNA (69 nucleotides) under Parborlasia corrugatus (corrugated ribbon worm). Its description in RNAcentral is "tRNA-Met". Lineage: Eukaryota; Metazoa; Nemertea; Pilidiophora; Heteronemertea; Lineidae. The record is from RNAcentral.
GAUAAAAUAAGCUAAGGGGUAAGCUGUUGGGUUCAUACCCCAAAUAUGAGUUUUUUGUCUCUUUUGUCU